GGCCGCAGUGGGGAAUAUUGCACAAUGGGGGAAACCCUGAGCAGCGACCCCGCUGAGGGGAAAAAGUUUUUCGAUUGUAACCUCUUCAGCGGGGAGGAAAUGACGUACCU
RNAcentral lists this ribosomal RNA (110 nucleotides) under uncultured Lachnospiraceae bacterium. RNAcentral's name for it is "partial 16S ribosomal RNA". Lineage: Bacteria; Bacillati; Bacillota; Clostridia; Lachnospirales; Lachnospiraceae. The record is from RNAcentral.